This is a long non-coding RNA of Rhododendron vialii, 688 nucleotides long. RefSeq lists it as uncharacterized. The transcript has 3 exons. The record is from RefSeq and is a predicted model, not a curated record. Lineage: Eukaryota; Viridiplantae; Streptophyta; Magnoliopsida; Ericales; Ericaceae.
GAUUGAGAAAGUUCUCCCAGCUAUUCGAUCUAAAUGGUCGCGUUCUAGUGCAACGGAACCCAUCUACCUUCAACAAGAUAAUGCAAAACCUCACAUUAGUCCAUUGGAUGCUGAUUUUGUACAAGCUGCAAGGCAAUACAAUCUCUUCAACAUCAAGAGGCACCGAGAACUAUUGAUGAGCUUGUUCGUGCCGUGGAGAAGUCAUUCGAAGAAAUGUCAUCGGAUAAUCUCAACCGUGUGUUUUUAUCAUUGCAAGCUUGCAUGAUUGAAGUGAUGAAGGUUAAUGGAGGCAACAAUUACAAGUUGCCACACAUAGGAAAAGGCCAAAUGUUGCGGGAAGGUUCCAUUGUUUCUAGCCUAGAAUGUGAGCCUCAUAUUCUACAAAAUGCCUUGGUUCAUUUACGACAGUGAACCAAUUAGUUACAUCAAGGUAACAAGGCUGCUUAAAUUUUGUAUUUUUGCAAAGUGGUUCAGUCAGCUAAGAAGUUUUUGAUGGCACUCUUCAAGUCAAGUUUGAAAUUGUUGAAUAGAGAGAAGGCUAUAUGCAGCACUGUCUUUUUGUGAAUCUGUAAAUAUUUGUAUGGGUGUUCAAAUGAAGGGGAAAAAAAAACAAAGGAGAAGUGAAAAUAGGCGUUCAUAGUCAAUCAACUCUGUAAAAUGUAUUUUGCCUUUUGGAAAUGAAAAAAAA